RNAcentral lists this non-coding RNA (27 nucleotides) under Homo sapiens (human). The record is from RNAcentral. Lineage: Eukaryota; Metazoa; Chordata; Mammalia; Primates; Hominidae.
UUCCCUGGAUGCUGGCUUCAGGUUGAA